Molecule: ribosomal RNA, 271 nt
Filed under: uncultured bacterium
Lineage: Bacteria
Description: partial 16S ribosomal RNA
Rfam family: Bacterial small subunit ribosomal RNA
Source: RNAcentral
CCGGCGACCGGCGCACGGGUGGAGUAACAACGUAUGGAACCGUAGCCCGCCAGCAGGGGGAUAAGCGGAAGAAAUUCCGUCUAAUACCGCGUAACAACGUUGGGAGGCAUCUCCCGAUGUUUAAAGAUUUAUCGGCUGCGGAUGGCCAUGCGGCGCAUUAGCUAGUCGGCGGGGUAACGGCCCACCGAGGCGACGAUGCGUAGGGGUUCUGAGAGGAAGGUCCCCCACACUGGUACUGAGACACGGACCAGACUCCUACGGGAGGCAGCAG